AACGAACGCUGGCGGCAGGCUUAACACAUGCAAGUCGAGCGCUGUAGCAAUACAGAGCGGCGCACGGGUGAGUAACACGUGGGAACAUGCCUUUCGGUUCGGAAUAACUCAGGGGAAACUUGUGCUAAUACCGGAUACGCCCUUACGGGGAAAGAUUUAUUGCCGAAAGAGUGGCCCGCGUUGGAUUAGCUAGUUGGUAAGGUAAAGGCUUACCAAGGCGACGAUCUGUAGCCGGCCNGAGAGGGCGGUCGGCCACACUGACACUGACAUAC
RNAcentral lists this ribosomal RNA (272 nucleotides) under uncultured bacterium. RNAcentral describes it as "partial 16S ribosomal RNA". It matches the Rfam family "Bacterial small subunit ribosomal RNA", at positions 29 to 327 of the family's 1533-position model. The record is from RNAcentral.